UGGUCGUUCGUUCUCCCGGCUAUUCUUCCUGGUUGGCUUGCCCCCGUGUGUGGUUCUUCUCUUUGGACGUGUUCCCCUAGGAGAGGUGAAUUCCUGGGACGUUUGGGCUGGCGUGUGGAGGUGUUUGAGGACUAUUGUGGGGUUUCGGCUAUCUGGCUGUGCAACAGAUAUAUCCGCGAUCGAGUGGAGAUAUUCAGGACAGAAAGAGUGUGAGUUCUGGAAAGCAAGUGAAGACAGACCGCGCCAUCGCUAUCGGAGGGAAGUUAAGAGACCUGAUCUGGGAUUUCGAUCAAUUGUAUACAUCUGGACUGGGAGUGAUAACGUUGUGAAGUGGACGGAGUCAUCGUUGGAUCGCAGGAUCCUCUGGGCCGAAUGCCGCAUGUGAUGUCCCUAUGAAAGGAGGUGGACACAAGAAUUAUUCCUUUCCCGGUCACAACCGAAGCCUCUCCCAGCCGUAAGCCCCACUACUUAUUCAAGAACGCAUACUUGCUGUUGAUUACCUACUCUGCUGUGCAGAUCGCAGGAUCCUCUGGGCCGAAUGCUGCAUGUGAUGUCCCUGUAGAAAGAGGUGGACACACGAAUUAUUCCUUUCCCGGUCUUAACCGAAGCCUCUCCCAGCCGUAAGCCCCACUACUUAUUCAAGAACGCAUACUUGCUGUUGAUUACCUACUCUGCUGUGCAGAUCGCAGGAUCCUCUGGGCCGAAUGCUGCAUGUGAUGUCCCUGUAGAAAGAGGUGGACACACGAAUUAUUCCUUUCCCGGUCUUAACCGAAGCAUCUCCCAGCCGUAAGCCCCACUACUUAUUCAAGAACGCAUACUUACUGUUGAUUCCCUACUCUGCUGGGCAGAUCGCAGGAUCCUCUGGGCCGAAUGCUGUAUGUGAUGCCCCUGUAGAAAGAGGUGGACACACGAAUUAUUCCCUUCCCGGUCUUAACCGAAGCAUCUCCUAGCCGUAAGCCCCAUUACUUAUUCAAGGACACAUACUUACUGUUGAUUACUUACCCCGCUGUGCAGACCACAGGAUUCUCUGGGCCGAAUGCUGCAUGUGAUGUCCCUGUAGAAGGAGGUGGACACGAGAAUUAUUCCUUUUCCCGGUCUCGACCGAAACAUCCACGAGCUCUACUUACCCGGAUACCCCCCCUCACUCCGGGACGGGUGACAGACUACCCUGGCUCUUGCUGGCCCCGUACAGGCACAAACUGCCGACGACUCCACGCCUUCCCGGCGUCCGAGGUCUGGCUCCAUUCUGGUCGGGAGACACGGAAGGAACACUGAACUUUUAAACUGCUUUUAAUCAAAUAAAACCUUGUUCAUUUUUUUAUACUCUCGUCUGUCUGGUUCUUCUGGUACGCUCCCCGAGGUGAUCCUGGGUUUCAGGGGUGGGUGCAGUCUGGCUUGGCCCCCCGACCUGUGACAUUUACACUUGCUUUCAAAGCAGUGUGAUACUAAAGUGUACAAUCAAAGGAGCGAAGCUGGUGAAGUCAAGCAACUUUACACAUCCUGAAAGAAACAGAAGUGCAAUUAUAAGUGAUAAGAGUAAGGAAAUUAUUUAGAGAACAGAUGAAACAGGAAGAG
Molecule: long non-coding RNA, 1575 nt
Filed under: Carassius auratus (goldfish)
Lineage: Eukaryota; Metazoa; Chordata; Actinopteri; Cypriniformes; Cyprinidae
Description: lncRNA (ENSCARG00000013372.1)
Source: RNAcentral